This is a long non-coding RNA of Folsomia candida, 2479 nucleotides long. RefSeq lists it as uncharacterized. The record is from RefSeq and is a predicted model, not a curated record. The transcript is spliced from 5 exons. Lineage: Eukaryota; Metazoa; Arthropoda; Collembola; Entomobryomorpha; Isotomidae.
AUAUAAAUAUGUGUUCCGGUGUCAAUCAACUCAUACAAUUCUGCCCAUUUCACCACGAAUAUUCUGUUCACUUGUAGGACAUGAAUGGCACAGUCCGUAUCACCCUGAGCGCAUUCUCGGCUUCGGCAGUAACUAUCAAGCUGACACAUUCGCAGAAUUUUCAAACAAUCAUUCCCAAAUCUUUGAUAACACCAGCGAAGAUGUUCUGGAAUAUCUCCAGCGUUCGGGGAGGAUCGCGCGCCAUAUCCAAAACCACUGUUUGCUGAGCUGAAAAAAUUGGGAUAACUUUUUAAUAUCCUCCAGACUAGAAGAAAUCUCAUUGACGAAUAAAUAGAUGAUGAAUGGCAUCUGCCUGGACUUCCGAUUCGUUCCAAAUGAAUCUUUGGCAUUUGGAUGCGCGACGUUUGGUACUGAUCCCUCCGGAAAAUGAGAUUGUGGCUGCGAAAGAAAAUCAUUAUUGAAUUCAAUCCAUCAUCAUAUGCAGAAUUUGGGUUGGAGUUCUGGAGGGAUGGUUUUCAUUUUCAAGUCGGAAGGAAUACACUAAAUUUGAUGAGAGACAGGUUAGCAGGACGACCUAUACACAUGCAAAACAAAUAUUAUUUAAAAAAAAAACUAAAUAUGUAGCAAAUAUUUUUCUUUGUAUGUUCGGUCGUAAUUUUGGUAUUAAAAUUAGCGAACCCGCGAGAGUAAGAGGAAGGAAUUACAUAAAUACACUCUUAGAAAUACUGUUGAAAAAUAAUACAAAGCAGUAUUCAGAUAAGUAUGACUCUACCAAAGUGGCAAGUAUUUGUGUAUACCUAAGUACUUUAUACAACGUAAUAAUAAAUUACGUAAGGUUUUACCAUUUUGGUAACAAAUUACAUAUUAUGGCCCGGAAUAAUUUUAACACCAAGCAGGAAUAAGUUUUAUACCUGCACGACUAUGUACAGAAGAUUUCAAUUUUAUGUAUGUAUAUGCAUUUUAAAUUUUAUUCCAGUCUUACCAUUUUUAUUUGAGUCAUUUUUUGUACUGUAUAUUUUGAAAGUAUCAAAUAUUUUUUAGCGAUUUGAUUACGUGUCGGACUCGAGGUUACAGUGACUGUCAAAAAAUGAGUGCAUUCACUUUAAACACUUUGUGACAAAUAAAUAGGUAGCAUGAAACGAACUGAUUUCGAUACAAUGUUGAGAUGUGUGUCCUUUUUAAAAUCAAGUUUAGAUGAUCGAGAUGAUAGAUGAUCGAGAGACAAUGUCUCGUAAUGAUGUUGUUCUGAGAUUAAAUACAUAGUUGAAUUGUCUCGUCUUAUCUCAAAAUUAUGUUAUUUGGGUCAAUAUAUCUUGAAAUGUGAUAGGUACAUGUUUAUGCAUAUUUGAAAAUAUGUAAGUCCAUCAUGUCAUUUGGUCAGUCUGUCUGCCUUAAUAACCGGUUGCAAUUAAGGAAUUAGAUUAAACAUGUACCUGAAGGUACAUAGGUCUGUAUGCUCUGAUAUGUGGGUGAAUGAGGGACAUAAGGUCAGAAGUCUUUCAAAAUUUUGCAAGUCUAGCAAAACCUUUUUUUCAAAAACGAUAGAUUUUUUGUCCCAAAUUAACUCAGCAGUGGCACUGUAAAAAGUUUGGUAGACUUAAACAUGUACGUAUCUACCUAGCAAUAAAAAUGUUGCUGGUAUAGCUUUGGCACCAUCGUACUAUCAGAUUGGUAAUAGUUUUCUUAUUGGUAUGAAAUUUUUCAUUGCCACAACAUUAUUAUUCGAGUGGUACACUCUUAGAAAUGGGGUUAUGAUUAUAACCAAAAAGGGACGUAUGUAACUCUACCACUGUGGUUAUAAAUUUGUCAUCGAGGGGUUAUAAUUGUCACCCGCUAAUUAUCAAGUUUCACUGACUUGGUGUGAAAUUGUUACCAGAGCUAAUAAAUAUAUAAUCAGUUGGUGACAAAUUCAUAACCACGGUGGUAGAAUCAUAUAAAUACGUUUACUUUUUGUUUAUAAUCGUAACCCCAUUUCUAAUAAUGUAGUAGUUUGAUGCUCCGUGGUAAAUAUUUCAUAACCACGGAACGGUAUUAUGCAGUGCUUUUUUAUCAUUGUGUGCAAAUUUCAUUUUCGUAAAACUAGUGUGUCAUUAAUUAUAUUAAAGGCUCAUUCAGAUAUUAAGACGGCUUUUGGAUCUUCAUGUGCAUGAACGGAAAAGGCUGGUUUGUUUGUAGAAGGAUAUGGGAACAGACUGGAUUUCACCGUUUUUCUGACUCAUGAGAUGGUAUUCACUUGCUCAUAAGUGAAUGAGUAUGAUGCACAAUAAAUUUACAUACAGGUUCUUAAGCAAGAUACUCUUCACAUAAAUAUAUACAGAUACGACAGAUUUGCAUACAACUGCUACAAACAUACAUAUGUAUGCAGAUUAAGAACAUGGGAUUAGACUGGAUUUCAUAGUUCAUCUGACUCAUGAGACUGCAUCCAGUCCACAUGAUCAUGAAUGCAUUGCAGAAUAAAUUUAAAAUUUCUGUAAAAUAU